RNAcentral lists this ribosomal RNA (301 nucleotides) under uncultured bacterium. RNAcentral describes it as "partial 16S ribosomal RNA". It matches the Rfam family "Bacterial small subunit ribosomal RNA", at positions 509 to 807 of the family's 1533-position model. The record is from RNAcentral.
CAGUAGCCACGGGAAAACGUAGGGUCCGAGCGUUGUCCGGAAUUAUUGGGCGUAAAGAGCUCGUAGGCGGUUUGUCGCGUCUGCUGUGAAAACCCGAGGCUCAACCUCGGGCCUGCAGUGGGUACGGGCAGACUAGAGUGCGGUAGGGGAGAUUGGAACUCCUGGUGUAGCGGUGGAAUGCGCAGAUAUCAGGAAGAACACCGAUGGCGAAGGCGAUUACCUGGUCUGGCACUGACGCUCAUGUGCGAAAGCGUGGGGAGCAAACAGGAUUAGAUACCCCAGUAGUCCCUGUCUCUUAUAC